GCUCCUUUGACGUUAGCGGCGGACGGGUGAGUAACACGUGGGCAACCUACCCUAUAGUUUGGGAUAACUCCGGGAAACCGGGGCUAAUACCGAAUAAUCUCUUUUGCUUCAUGGUGAAAGACUGAAAGACGGUUUCGGCUGUCGCUAUAGGAUGGGCCCGCGGCGCAUUAGCUAGUUGGUGAGGUAACGGCUCACCAAGGCGACGAUGCGUAGCCGACCUGAGAGGGUGAUCGGCCACACUGGGACUGAGACACGGCCCAGACUCCUACGGGAGGCAGCAGUAGGGAAUCUUCCACAAUGGGCGAAAGCCUGAUGGAGCAACGCCGCGUGAGUGAAGAAGGUUUUCGGAUCGUAAAACUCUGUUGUAAGGGAAGAACAAGUACAGUAGUAACUGGCUGUACCUUGACGGUACCUUAUUAGAAAGCCACGGCUA
Molecule: ribosomal RNA, 433 nt
Filed under: Lysinibacillus sp.
Lineage: Bacteria; Bacillati; Bacillota; Bacilli; Caryophanales; Bacillaceae
Description: bacterial SSU rRNA
Rfam family: Bacterial small subunit ribosomal RNA
Source: RNAcentral